RNAcentral lists this ribosomal RNA (629 nucleotides) under Staphylococcus aureus. RNAcentral describes it as "bacterial SSU rRNA". It matches the Rfam family "Bacterial small subunit ribosomal RNA", at positions 135 to 751 of the family's 1533-position model. Lineage: Bacteria; Bacillati; Bacillota; Bacilli; Caryophanales; Staphylococcaceae. The record is from RNAcentral.
AGACUGGGAUAACUUCGGGAAACCGGAGCUAAUACCGGAUAAUAUUUUGAACCGCAUGGUUCAAAAGUGAAAGACGGUCUUGCUGUCACUUAUAGAUGGAUCCGCGCUGCAUUAGCUAGUUGGUAAGGUAACGGCUUACCAAGGCAACGAUGCAUAGCCGACCUGAGAGGGUGAUCGGCCACACUGGAACUGAGACACGGUCCAGACUCCUACGGGAGGCAGCAGUAGGGAAUCUUCCGCAAUGGGCGAAAGCCUGACGGAGCAACGCCGCGUGAGUGAUGAAGGUCUUCGGAUCGUAAAACUCUGUUAUUAGGGAAGAACAUAUGUGUAAGUAACUGUGCACAUCUUGACGGUACCUAAUCAGAAAGCCACGGCUAACUACGUGCCAGCAGCCGCGGUAAUACGUAGGUGGCAAGCGUUAUCCGGAAUUAUUGGGCGUAAAGCGCGCGUAGGCGGUUUUUUAAGUCUGAUGUGAAAGCCCACGGCUCAACCGUGGAGGGUCAUUGGAAACUGGAAAACUUGAGUGCAGAAGAGGAAAGUGGAAUUCCAUGUGUAGCGGUGAAAUGCGCAGAGAUAUGGAGGAACACCAGUGGCGAAGGCGACUUUCUGGUCUGUAACUGACGCUGAUG